GAUGAACGCUGGCGGCGUGCCUAAUACAUGCAAGUCGAGCGAACAGACGAGGAGCUUGCUCCUCUGACGUUAGCGGCGGACGGGUGAGUAACACGUGGAUAACCUACCUAUAAGACUGGGAUAACUUCGGGAAACCGGAGCUAAUACCGGAUAAUAUAUUGAACCGCAUGGUUCAAUAGUGAAAGACGGUUUUGCUGUCACUUAUAGAUGGAUCCGCGCCGCAUUAGCUAGUUGGUAAGGUAACGGCUUACCAAGGCAACGAUGCGUAGCCGACCUGAGAGGGUGAGCGGCCACUGGAACUGAGACACGGUCCAGACUCCUACGGGAGGCAGCAGUAGGGAAUCUUCCGCAAUGGGCGAAAGCCUGACGGAGCAACGCCGCGUGAGUGAUGAAGGUCUUCGGAGCGUAAAACUCUGUUAUUAGGGAAGAACAAAUGUGUAAGUAACUAUGCACGUCUUGACGGUACCUAAUCAGAAAGCCACGGCUAACUACGUG
RNAcentral lists this ribosomal RNA (495 nucleotides) under uncultured bacterium. RNAcentral's name for it is "partial 16S ribosomal RNA". It matches the Rfam family "Bacterial small subunit ribosomal RNA", at positions 28 to 507 of the family's 1533-position model. The record is from RNAcentral.